This 76-nucleotide transfer RNA is filed under the name Candidatus Peregrinibacteria bacterium. RNAcentral's name for it is "tRNA-Ile". It matches the Rfam family "tRNA". From Rfam's summary of the family: Transfer RNA (tRNA) molecules are approximately 80 nucleotides in length. Their secondary structure includes four short double-helical elements and three loops (D, anti-codon, and T loops). Lineage: Bacteria; Candidatus Peregrinibacteriota. The record is from RNAcentral.
GGGCCCGUAGCUCAGUGGUUAGAGCAGGAGGCUCAUAACUUCUUGGUCGCUGGUUCAAGUCCAGCCGGGCCCACCA